Molecule: non-coding RNA, 29 nt
Filed under: Rattus norvegicus (Norway rat)
Lineage: Eukaryota; Metazoa; Chordata; Mammalia; Rodentia; Muridae
Source: RNAcentral
UUACAAAACAUUUUGAGCAGAAGGGUGAC